GAUGAACGCUGGCGGCGUGCCUAAUACAUGCAAGUCGAGCGAACAGUCGAGGAGCUUGCUCCUUCGACGUUAGCGGCGGACGGGUGAGUAACACGUAGGUAACCUACCUAUAAGACUGGGAUAACUUCGGGAAACCGGAGCUAAUACCGGAUAAUAUUUCGAUCCGCAUGGUUCGAUAGUGAAAGAUGGCUUUGCUUUCACUUAUCAAUGGACCUGCGCCGUAUUAGCUAGUUGGUAAGGUAACGGCUUACCAAGGCAACGAUAGGUAGCCGACCUGAGAGGGUGAUCGGCAACACUGGACCUGAGACACGGUCCAGACUCCUACGGGAGGCAGCAGUAGGGAAUCUUCCGCAAUGGGCGAAGGCCUGACGGAGCAACGCGGCGUGGGGGAUGAAGUUCUUCGGUUCGAAAACCUCUGUGAUUAGGGAGGAACAAACGUGUAAGUAACUGUGCACGUCUUGACGGUACCUAAUCAGAAAGCCACGGCUAACUACGUG
This 497-nucleotide ribosomal RNA is filed under the name uncultured bacterium. Its description in RNAcentral is "partial 16S ribosomal RNA". It matches the Rfam family "Bacterial small subunit ribosomal RNA", at positions 28 to 507 of the family's 1533-position model. The record is from RNAcentral.